This 95-nucleotide ribosomal RNA is filed under the name Helicobacter pylori R32b. Lineage: Bacteria; Pseudomonadati; Campylobacterota; Epsilonproteobacteria; Campylobacterales; Helicobacteraceae. The record is from RNAcentral.
UGUGCCUUUAGAGAAGAGGAACUACCCAGUUAACCAUUCCGAACCUGGAAGUCAAGCUCUUCAUCGCUGAUAAUACUGCUCUUUCAAGAGUGGGA